AUAAUGUGGGAGACCAAAUCUAUCUAAAAAUUUCUCCUAUUAAAAUCAUACACCCAAUUUUGUGCUAAAAGAUCCAAAUUCAAAGCACAACUACACAAGCCCCCUAACGUAGAUACAACACCACCCAAAAAAUAAUUUUCAUCAAAUAAACAUUAUUGCAACUAGUUUGGGUUUUUAUUAUAUAUUAACCCCAUAGGAGACGUCCAAAUCUUCCUGAAAUUCAUAUAAAUUAAGGUAUAUGGCCUCCAAAGCUAGCACCACAAAUCCACCUGUUGUCUCAAUACCACACUCUUCCUCUCAAAAGCCAUGAAGCCUCAAUUUCUCUUCCUCCUAGUCCUCUCCAUAACCUUCACCAUCAACAGCAAUCUUUUGGUCACUUCCCAAUCAUCAUCCUCACCGGAAACACUGAGAAAGAAACCAGAUAAUGAGACAAUAUACAAGAUCUCAAAGCAACUUUGUUUGGGUUGCAUUGGAGAGUCAAUAGAGUUCCUAUUUGAACAUAACUUAGUAAGGGCAGCAAAAUGGGAGCUUCCAUUGAUGUGGGAUUUUCAGCUGGAGAAAUAUGCGAGAUGGUGGGCUGGACAAAGGAAAGCAGAUUGCAAAGUUGAACAUUCUUUCCCAGAAGGAGAUUUCAAGCUUGGAGAGAAUAUCUAUUGGGGCAGUGGCUCAGAAUGGAGACCAGCUGAUGCUGUUAGUGCUUGGGCUGCUGAAGAGAAGUACUAUACUUAUGCAACAAAUUCAUGUGAGGUGGGUCAAAUGUGUGGGCACUACACUCAAAUUGUAUGGAAGACUACUAGGAGAAUUGGGUGUGCUCGUUCUGUUUGUGAUGAUGGAGAUGUGUUUAUGACUUGUAAUUAUGAUCCUCCAGGUAAUUACGUUGGUGAAAGGCCAUAUUGAAAGGUAGUAUAAUUAGAGUUAAUUGAUUAGGUGGUGUUUUUGGGCGUGAAGUUAGUUACUAGUGUUAUUGAACAAAUAUAAAUGCAUAUGUAGGAUAGGAUUAGGAAGAAAUUAAUGGGAGAAGAUUUGUCAUAAUUAAUGUUUGUGGUUGCUUAAAUAAGAUCCAUAGGUCUAUUUUCCAUUUAAUAAAAUUUGCACUUGCUUAUAAAAAUAAUAAUGAGACAAAGACACGUGAGCGU
This 1136-nucleotide unclassified non-coding RNA is filed under the name Hevea brasiliensis (rubber tree). The record is from RNAcentral. Lineage: Eukaryota; Viridiplantae; Streptophyta; Magnoliopsida; Malpighiales; Euphorbiaceae.